This 1132-nucleotide long non-coding RNA is filed under the name Macaca fascicularis (crab-eating macaque). RNAcentral describes it as "lncRNA (ENSMFAG00000058065.1)". Lineage: Eukaryota; Metazoa; Chordata; Mammalia; Primates; Cercopithecidae. The record is from RNAcentral.
UUUUUUUUUUUUUUUUUGUGGAGACGGAGUUUUGCCAUGUUGCCCAGGCUGGGAAUCAGAUGGCUUUUUUUUUUCUCAUUUUUCCUCAAAUAAGCUAGUAUUUUAAUUUUUGUGAGCUGAUCAAGGUACCUGUGUGGGAGAUGUGCAGUCUCAACUGACAUACAUGUCAUUCCUGCCUAUCAUUUGUGGCCAUAGCUGAUGUUUGCACAACCUCAUGGGAAGAGCAAACUUUGGUGGUUAUAAACCCUUGGGUAACAUCCAGUGCAUUUAUACCAAACUGAUGUAAGGAAAAGCACAGUAAGUAGCUUCACCAUUCUAGGUGGUUGCUUUGACCUUACAGUUUUAGGGGAGCAGAGCCAGUGUCGGGGAAGAACUGCAAUGGAAGCAGAGAUGGCAGUCCCUAUGCGGCAGCAGCCCAUGUAAGAGGUGAUGUUCCUCUAUCUGAAAGGCAGAACAAAACAUUUCACCCUUUCUCCCAGAGGCCCCGUCAUCCAAGUGUCCUUCAGUGAGCAGAGAACAGGCCUCAGAACAAACUCCUUUUGGGACCCCCCUCUCGUUCUUUUUGAAUUAAGGUGGACUUUUCCUUCACAUACUGGUACUGAAGUCACAGGUCUGUUUAUUAAGAAGUAUGAAGGGCUCGGCAUGGUGGCUCAUGCCUGUAAUCCCAGCACUUUGGGAGGCUGAGGUGGAAAAAUAAUUAAGCUCAGACCAGGCUGGGUAGCAAAGUGAGACCCUGUCGUUGUACAAAAAAUAAAUUAGCAGGGCGUGGUGGGUGGCACACACCUGUAGCCCUUGCUAUUCAGGAGGCUGACACAGGAGGACAGCUUGAGCCUAGGAAGUCGAGGCUGCAGUGAGCCAUGAUUGCAUCAGUGCAUUGCAGCUUGGGUGACCCUGUCUCAAAAAAUAUGAAGAUGUUGAUAAAGUUCUUAAAAAACUAAAAAUCAAUUAGUUAAAUAAAAAAUAAAUUAAUUGCUAAACAUGAGUAAAAUGGAAAGCAAGGUUGUAUUUAAUUGUAUCUGUUCCCUCUCCAUUGUGAGGUUAAUCUGUUUGCAUAACUUGAGUGUUUGCAGUCUGGUUCAAGGGUAGGGUUGGAGCCAGGCCUGGCCCACCCAGCCUUCCCUGUUCUGGGACC